Molecule: ribosomal RNA, 1086 nt
Filed under: Porphyromonadaceae bacterium
Lineage: Bacteria; Pseudomonadati; Bacteroidota; Bacteroidia; Bacteroidales; Porphyromonadaceae
Description: partial 23S ribosomal RNA
Rfam family: Bacterial large subunit ribosomal RNA
Source: RNAcentral
CUGUGAAGGAAAGGUGAAAAGCACUCCGAUGAGGAGAGUGAAAUAGUUCCUGAAACCAUGCGCCUACAAGCGGUCGGAGCCGCGUAAGCGGUGACGGCGUGCCUUUUGCAUAAUGAACCUACGAGUUACCAUGUCUGGCAAGGAUAAGCGUCAUGAGACGCGCAUCCGCAGUGAAAGCGAGCCUGAACAGGGCGUCGAGUCAGAUGUGGUAGACGCGAAACCAAGUGAUCUACACUUGUCCAGGAUGAAGUUCCGGUAACACGGAAUGGAGGUCCGAACCAAUAAGCGUUGAANNNNNNNNNNAUCAAACUUGGAGAUAGCUCGUACUCCCCGAAAGGCAUUUAGGUGCCGCGUGCGACGAUCUCCAUAAGAGGUAGAGCGACCGAUAGGUCAAGAGGGCUUCACCGCCUAUCGAGACCUGACGAACUCCGAAUGCUUAUGGACUGCAGUCGUGCAGUAAGGGGGCGGGUGCUAAGGUCCGUCCCCGAGAGGAGAAGAAUCCAGACCGCCGUCUAAGGUCCCGAAAUUCUGUCUAAGUUAGUCUAACGAAGUCUGGUCCCCGUGACAGCUAGGAUGUUGGCUUGGAAGCAGCCAUUCAUUCAAAGAGUGCGUAACAGCUCACUAGUCGAGGGUCCGGGCAUGGAUAAUAAUCGGGUAUAAGUCAGAUACCGAAGGCGCGGGAUAGUAAUGUAUAUUAAAAGUAUCGGUAGGGGAGCAUUCCAUCGGCGUUGAAUGGUGAGGGUAACCGAUCCUGGAGCUUAUGGAAAAGCAAAUGUAGGUAUAAGUAACGAUAAAAAGGGUGAGAUUCCCUUUCGCCGAAAGACCGAGGUUUCCCGGGCGAUGCCAAUCAGCCCGGGGUUAGUCGGGUCCUAAGUCUCAGCCGAACGGCGAAGGCGAUGGCAGAUGCGGUUAAUAUUCCGCAACUCGCAUAUACAGUGAUGUGGAGACGGAGCAGUGACACUGCCGCGCCCUGACGGAAUAGGGCGUUUAAGUGCGUAGGCUAUGAGGGAGGCAGGCAAAUCCACCUUCCGAGCUGAACCAUGAAAGUACAGGUAAUCCUUCGGGAUAACUUGAGUGCAGGUAAUC